AUUGCAGAGCUACCGCUUCGGUUAGCCAGCCACGAAGUUCUCGCGAGAGUCGUCUCCUCGAUACCAAGCGCCUGUGUCUGGCAGAGCUGGUGUGAGACGAGACAAUCCUGCCCCGCCGCCGGGAUAAUCAAGAGUUUUGGCCGGACCUUUGAGCAUACACCGAGAGAGUGAGGAGCCAGACGACAAGCACACACUAUGGCGCUGAAACGGAUUAAUAAGGAACUUAGUGAUUUGGCCCGUGACCCUCCAGCACAAUGUUCUGCAGGUCCAGUUGGGGAUGAUAUGUUUCAUUGGCAAGCCACAAUUAUGGGACCUAAUGACAGCCCAUAUCAAGGCGGUGUAUUCUUUUUGACAAUUCAUUUUCCUACAGACUACCCCUUCAAACCACCUAAGGCAAGUAUUUCCCCUCAAAAUCUGUUAGUAUAAAUUUAUGCUUUAUUUCAAAGGAAUAGAGCAUUCUUGGAAGAUAGGGUUCUGUGUAGGCUGUAUAUAUAUGUUGAAUUGCACUGAUGUAUAGAUGCUGACUCUUAACCUUUGGUUUAAAGAGCUAGACCUCAGUUUGAGCUUUGUAAAUAGGAAUAAGG
Molecule: small RNA, 584 nt
Filed under: Pan troglodytes (chimpanzee)
Lineage: Eukaryota; Metazoa; Chordata; Mammalia; Primates; Hominidae
Description: retained intron
Source: RNAcentral